RNAcentral lists this ribosomal RNA (496 nucleotides) under uncultured bacterium. RNAcentral describes it as "partial 16S ribosomal RNA". It matches the Rfam family "Bacterial small subunit ribosomal RNA", at positions 29 to 507 of the family's 1533-position model. The record is from RNAcentral.
AUGAACGCUGGCGGCGUGCCUAAUACAUGCAAGUCGAGCGAACAGAUGAGGAGCUUGCUCCUCUGACGUUAGCGGCGGACGGGUGAGUAACACGUGAAUAACCUACCUAUAAGACUGGGAUAACUUCGGGAAACCGGAGCUAAUACCGGAUAAUAUAUUGAACCGCAUGGUUCAAUAGUGAAAGACGGUUUUGCUGUCACUUAUAGAUGGAUCCGCGCCGCAUUAGCUAGUUGGUAAGGUAACGGCUUACCAAGGCAACGAUGCGUAGCCGACCUGAGAGGGUGAUCGGCCACACUGGAACUGAGACACGGUCCAGACUCCUACGGGAGGCAGCAGUAGGGAAUCUUCCGCAAUGGGCGAAAGCCUGACGGAGCAACGCCGCGUGAGUGAUGAAGGUCUUCGGAUCGUAAAACUCUGUUAUUAGGGAAGAACAAAUGUGUAAGUAACUAUGCACGUCUUGACGGUACCUAAUCAGAAAGCCACGGCUAACUACGUG